RNA transcript from Rhea pennata, 3223 nucleotides. It is a transcript of the gene named membrane bound transcription factor peptidase, site 2, with no coding region annotated. The transcript has 12 exons. Lineage: Eukaryota; Metazoa; Chordata; Aves; Rheiformes; Rheidae. The record is from RefSeq and is a predicted model, not a curated record.
UUCCGGGGGUAUGUUUAGUUCCGGGGGUUCCUCUGCAUGAGCCACGGCUCCCGCCGCCGCCUCCUCGGCUGCAGUAAUGAUCCCGAUCCCGGUGGUGGUGUGCGUGCUGGGGGGCUGGUGCGCCAUCUACCUGGCGGAUACGCUGCUUAAGUCAUCCAGCUCUUUGAAAGCAUCUUAUGAAGACUGGCUGCUGACAUAUGGCUUGAAUGUCUCUCCUUUUCACAUGCGAUGGCAAACUGCUCUCUUCAACCGCCAGUUCUACAACUGGGGGCGAUGGAAACCCAGAUUUCUUUAUCUAUGGUUCAGCAUAGGAAUGGUAUUUGGUAUAGUUGCCAUGUUUGGAUCUGUUAUUCUUCUUGGAAAAACACUGAUGCAGACACUGACACAGAUGCUAACUGAGGCCCCAAAAGCCCAGAAUGACCGUAUGCUGCAAGUUGUGGUGCCUGGUGUAAAUUUGCCUGUCAGCCAGCUGACCUAUUUCUUCUCUGCAAUCCUCGUCAGUGGUGUGAUACAUGAAGUCGGCCAUGGGGUGGCAGCUAUUCGAGAACAAGUACGAUUUAAUGGAUUUGGGAUUUUUAUCUUCAUUGUCUAUCCUGGAGCAUUUGUUGACCUCUUCACAACUCACUUGCAACUUAUAUCUCCAGUCCAGCAAUUAAGGAUAUUUUGUGCAGGAGUAUGGCAUAACUUUGUUCUUGGUGUUGCAAGUCUUACAGUUUUGUUUCUGCUACCAGCCAUUCUUUUCCCUUUCUAUUACACGGGUGUUGGGGCACUUAUCACAGAAGUCACAGAGGAUUCUCCUGCCAAUGGACCAAGAGGUCUUUUCGUGGGAGAUCUUGUCACUAGCCUUCAAGACUGCCCAGUGUAUAAUGUGGAAGACUGGAAUUCAUGUCUGGGAGACAUUUCACAAAAGUCACAGAUUGGCUACUGUAUAAAUGCAGCAACCCUACAGCAAUUAAGUUUUCCAACUAGAGUUUAUAGAAGACUCGAUGGCACAGUUGAAUGUUGUAAUAACAACAGCCUCACAGACAUUUGCUUUUCAUACAGCAAUAACUUGGACAGCAACUUGUAUGCCUGUCUACCAGCACGAAAAGUUAUUGAGGCCAGCCAAGUUUGUCGAACUAACAUGGACUGCCAGAAGGACUUUGUUCCGAGCUUGUGUGUGACUCCUUCUUUAGAGAACCAAACAAGGCUAAUCAGGGUAAAACAUCCACCUCAUAUUGACAUGCUGUUUGUAGGACAUCCCUUGCAUCUCCAGUACACAGUAAGUCUCAGCAGCUUUGUACCGCGACAUAACUUUCUAAGCAUUGAUCUGCCUGUGAUGAUAGAGACAUUCUGCAAGUACCUAAUUUCACUGUCAGGAGCAUUGGCAGUUAUCAAUGCUGUACCCUGCUUUGCUUUGGAUGGCCAGUGGAUAUUAAAUUCUUUCCUAGAAGCCACUCUGAGCUCACUGAUUGUAGAAAAGCAAAACAGGGAGCUUGUUGGCUUUUUAAUUUUACUUGCUGGCAGUGCACUUUUGGCUGCCAAUGUUGCACUAGGACUUUGGAUGGUGACAGCACGGUAGAACAUUGGAUAUGCUUCCAUCGGUUAUCAAACUACACAAAAAUAAUGAAUCUAUUGCCUUUCAAAAUUUGGUCAGCACUGAAAUUGAAAUAAUUCCCUUAAAAUGGCACUGGAAAAACAAUCACUCAUGGCUGCUGUUUUAACUUAAAUCUGUACGAUGUUGUGCCUGUGAUCAUGGAAAAACUGAACGAAACAAUGCUCUCACAGGCUUGGCCUCCUGAAGUUCACUGAUGUGGGGUAGCAGCCCCUUGCCUCUGAUUUUCAGUCAUGUCAACCUGGGCAUGUCGGCACAGAUCCUGGUAAGAGAGAGGAAGUCAUCCAGUCAGUCUAGUAUGAGUCAGUCCCUUUGGGAACUAUUAAAAGUCACAAAAAACAAGAAAGGAAAAAUAAACUAUCAGAAACUGCCAAAAGGCUUCUCUUUCUUCAGGAGGCAUCUGGCAAGUCUAAUUCAUCACUCAUAAUAAACCUAACAGACAUUUCAGAGCAACAGCUCUCGUGCCAUUCUUCCAUCUCUCUGUGGACAAACUUGACAUGAGCAGCAUGGUUCUUAUAUGAGGCCCAGCUCUGAAGCUAUGCUCUGGAAGUCUAUUCACUCACCUAAGUGGCUGCUCACUAAUUUGAGCUCUUCCUUUCCAGGGCAUUGUGUCACUUUCCUCUGUUUCCAUAUCUUGUCCAGGCUACACUCCACAGAAUUAACUUGCAUUUAUGAGGUUUAAUGCAAUUUAGUAAGGCAAUAUGCUCACUUUUCAAAAAGACUGCCAUUGUUUAUGUGUCCGAGUUGCAGUCCUCUUUUUUUUUCUGAUCUAAAGCAACAACAACUGCAUGUGGUGAUUUCAAAAAUAUUCUAUGAAUAACAUUUAAAGUUUGAUAUGUUAUAUGUUCAAGCUGACUCCAGCUGCAUGUGACAAUCUGUUCAGCAUAAUAUUCCAUUUGGAGAUGUAGGCAAGGGGUAUUAAAAAAAAAUCCUUUGGAAAAACAUACACGUGUUCUAGCUGCUAUAAUGAGGCUGGCAGGUUGUUCCUGGUUAUUUAAUGUUCUACCAAAACCUGACACUUUACCAAAGGAAAAUAAAUCCAAUUUAUUUAUGUAAUCAAUUAAGACCAAACUUGCAGUAAGCAGAACGUCAACUCGUGUUUGACAUUAUGAUAAAUUUCAGGCUGGAGAAGAAUGGGGUGGUUUUAGCAAAACACACUAGUACACUGUAAAGACCCUAGGUAACUUCCGUGGGGCAUAUAGUACUGUAAGUGUUUAAAAAUAAUUCAUGGAUCCAUUCCUGCAUGUACUGGAUUUCUACUGAAUAAGGUUAGAUUUAGGUAUGUAGAGUUACUCUGAAUCAAAGCUUUAAGCAAACUGUGAUCAAUGCUCUUUGUUUAAAAAAAGACUCAGUGCAUAUCUUAGAUUAUCUAUGGAUGAAGAUAGUUCUUGACCUGGACCACUUUCUGAAGAAAAAGCUUUUCAAUGGAUCAGUUCUAUUCUUCUGUCAUCCUAACCUAUGGAUUACAUGCUGAUAAGCAAGUGCCAUUUUUGACUAUAUAUAUAUUUUGACUUUGGGGAGGUUUUUUGCUGGUUGGUUUGUUUGUUUGCUUAUUUGUGUAGCAACAGAACACAGAAGGCCAUAGAAUGUUUUUUGUAUGUUGUGUAUUUACUCUGGAAUAUUUCUAAU